This is a transfer RNA of Felis catus (domestic cat), 73 nucleotides long. It matches the Rfam family "tRNA". Rfam says of the family: Transfer RNA (tRNA) molecules are approximately 80 nucleotides in length. Their secondary structure includes four short double-helical elements and three loops (D, anti-codon, and T loops). The record is from Rfam. Lineage: Eukaryota; Metazoa; Chordata; Mammalia; Carnivora; Felidae.
ACCUGGCUGGCUCAGUGGGUGGAGCAUGUGACUGUUGAUCUCCUGGUCAUGAGCUCGAGCCCCAUGUUGGGCA